RNAcentral lists this ribosomal RNA (239 nucleotides) under uncultured bacterium. RNAcentral describes it as "partial 16S ribosomal RNA". It matches the Rfam family "Bacterial small subunit ribosomal RNA", at positions 524 to 762 of the family's 1533-position model. The record is from RNAcentral.
UACGUAGGGCGCAAGCGUUGUCCGGAAUUAUUGGGCGUAAAGAGCUCGUAGGCGGCUUGUCACGUCUGCUGUGAAAUCUCGGGGCUUAACUCCGGGCCUGCAGUGGGUACGGGCAGACUAGAGUGCGGUAGGGGAGACUGGAAUUCCUGGUGUAGCGGUGGAAUGCGCAGAUAUCAGGAGGAACACCAAUAGCGAAGGCAGCUCGCUGGGACGUUACUGACACUGAGGCGCGAAAGCGU